Molecule: long non-coding RNA, 2103 nt
Filed under: Bos indicus x Bos taurus (hybrid cattle)
Lineage: Eukaryota; Metazoa; Chordata; Mammalia; Artiodactyla; Bovidae
Description: lncRNA (ENSBIXG00005019784.1)
Source: RNAcentral
AUGCCGCCCACACCACACACACCCCCCCCCCCCACACACACACACGCAGGGCCCUACACAUCGGCCACACACCACCCACCCCCACCACUCCCUCCCCGCCCCCCCCCCCCCCCACACACACUGCGUUGUCCUUUGCCUGGCUGUGUCUCUCGGCCUCUCUGUCCCCGCACCCACAGGCGGACGCCACACGCACACACCCAUGCCGCCCACACCACACACACAGCCCGCCCACACACACGCAGGGCCCUUCACACCGGCCACACACCACCCACCCCCACCACCCCCUCCCCGCCCCCCCAACACACACACUGCGUUGUCCUUUGCCUGGCUGUGUCUUCUCGGCCUCUGUCUCUGCCCCCGCACCCACAGGCGGAUGCCACACGCACACACCCAUGCCGCCCACACGGCCCCCCGUGGCAGCUAUACACAACACACUCACACCACACACCUACCCCCUCCCCCCAUACACACACACACACCCCCACCCCCACACGGCGUGCACACACGCAUCCCCCCCCCCCACACACACAGCCCAUAAACACCCCGCCCCCCACACGCACACCCCCUCCCCCACACCACACACACACACACACACACACACACACACACACACUGCGUUGUCCUUUGCCUGGCUGUGACGCUCUGCCUCUGUCUCUGCCCACACACCACAUGCAUGCCCACACGCACGCGCGGGCACACACACACACACUCUCACACCCCGCCCCGCCACCCCCGCACCACACACACCUCCCCCGCCCCGCCCCCCCCCCCCCCCCACACACACACACUUUGUUGUCCUUUGCCUGGCUGUGUCUCUCGGCCUCUGUCUCUGCCCCUGCACCCACAGGCGCACGCCACACACACACACACACACCCAUGCCGCCCACACCACACACACACCCCGCCCACACGCAGGGCCCUUCACACCACACCCACACACCCACACACACACAGCGUUGUCCUUUGCCUGGCUGUCUCUCUCGGCCUCUGUCUCUGCCGACCCGCACCCACAGGCGCACCCCACACGCACACACCCAUGCGGCCCACACGCGCCCUCGUGGCACCUAUACACAACAAACCCACACCACACACGAACCACCCCCCCCCCACCCCAACACACUCACACGGCCACACACACCACCCACGCACUACCACCUGAGCAUGCCACAACGCCACACACUGCCUCGCCCUCCCCCCCCAACACACAGACACCCGGCCCACACCACACACAUACGCACACACACACACACACACAGCGUUGUCCUUUGCCUGGAUGUGACGCUCUGCCUCUGCCCACACACCACAUGCAUGCCCACACGCACGCGCGCGCGCACACACACACACACUCUCACACCCCGCCCCGCCACCCCCACACCACACACACCUCCCCCCCACCUGGCCACACACACACACACCUCCCCCCCCGGCCCCCCCCCCCCCCCCACACACACACUUUGUUGUCCUUUGCCUGGCUGUGUCUCUUGGCCUCUGUCUCUGACCCCGCCCCCCCAGACCCGCAUCCACAGGCGCACGCCACACGCACACACCCAUGCCGCCCACACCACACACACAGCCCGCCCACACACACGCAGGGCCCUUCACACCGGCCACACACCACCCACCCCCACCACCCCCUCCCCGCCCCCCCAACCCACCCCCACCACCCCCUCCCCGCCCCCCCAACACACACACUGCGUUGUCCUUUGCCUGGCUGUGUCUCUCGGCCUCUGUCUCUGCCCCCGCACCCACAGGCGGACGCCACACGCACACACCCAUGCCGCCCACACGGCCCCCCGUGGCAGCUAUACACAACACACUCACACCACACACCUACCCCCCCCCCCCCCCAUACACACACACACACACACACACACACGGCCGCACACUCUCCACCCACGCAACACCACCUGGGCAUGUCACAGACACGCCACACAUGCCUCACCCCCCCCCCCACCCCGCCCCACUCUGUGUGUUCCUGUCCCCUCUUUUUCUCCUUCCUUCCUCUGUCGUCGUCCCUCUGCCUCUCGCUCCCCUCCCUCCACCUUCACAGGACAGAGUGCCUUUAAGAUGAGUCUGCCUGUUUUAAACACACCCUGGACAUGA